UACGGAGGGUGCAAGCGUUAAUCGGAAUCACUGGGCGUAAAGCGCGCGUAGGUGGCUAUUUAAGUCAGAUGUGAAAGCCCUGGGCUCAACCUGGGAAUGGCAUUUGAUACUGGAUAGCUAGAGUAUGGUAGAGGUGAGUGGAAUUUCAGGUGUAGCGGUGAAAUGCGUAGAUAUCAGGAGGAAUACCAGUGGCGAAGGCGACCCCCUGGGCCAAUACUGACGCUGAGGUACGAAAGCGUGGGUAGCGAACAGG
Molecule: ribosomal RNA, 253 nt
Filed under: uncultured bacterium
Lineage: Bacteria
Description: partial 16S ribosomal RNA
Rfam family: Bacterial small subunit ribosomal RNA
Source: RNAcentral